AGAGUUUGAUCCUGGCUCAGAACGAACGCUGGCGGCAGGCCUAACACAUGCAAGUCGAACGGGGACCUUCGGGUCUUACGUGGCGCACGGGUGAGUAACGCGUGGGAAUCUACCCCAAAGUCAGGGAUAACCGCUGGAAACGGCGGCUAAUACCGGAUACGCCCUGCGGGGCAAAGCUUUUGCGCUUUGGGAGGAGCCCGCGUCCGAUUAGCUAGUUGGUGGGGUAAAGGCCUACCAAGGCUGCGAUCGGUAGCUGGUCUGAGAGGAUGAUCAGCCACACUGGGACUGAGACACGGCCCAGACUCCUACGGGAGGCAGCAGUGGGGAAUCUUGGACAAUGGGGGCAACCCUGAUCCAGCCAUGCCGCGUGGGUGAAGAAGGCCUUAGGGUUGUAAAGCCCUUUCGGCGGGGAAGAUGAUGACGGUACCCGCAGAAGAAGCCCCGGCUAACUCCGUGCCAGCAGCCGCGGUAAUACGGAGGGGGCUAGCGUUGUUCGGAAUCACUGGGCGUAAAGGGCGCGUAGGCGGACCACCAAGUCAGGGGUGAAAGCCCUGGGCUCAACCUAGGAAGUGCCCUUGAAACUGAUGGUCUUGAGUCCGGGAGAGGAGAGCGGAAUUCCCAGUGUAGAGGUGAAAUUCGUA
RNAcentral lists this ribosomal RNA (641 nucleotides) under uncultured bacterium. Its description in RNAcentral is "bacterial SSU rRNA". It matches the Rfam family "Bacterial small subunit ribosomal RNA", at positions 8 to 692 of the family's 1533-position model. The record is from RNAcentral.